CCUACGGGGGGCUGCAGUGGGGAAUAUUGGACAAUGGGCGAAAGCCUGAUCCAGCCAUGCCGCGUGUGUGAAGAAGGCCUUCGGGUUGUAAAGCACUUUCAGUGGGGAAGAAAGCCUUGGGGCUAAUACCCUCGAGGAAGGACAUCACCCACAGAAGAAGCACCGGCUAACUCCGUGCCAGCAGCCGCGGUAAUACGGAGGGUGCGAACGUUAAUCGGAAUUACUGGGCGUAAAGCGCGCGUAGGCGGUCUGAUAAGCCGGUUGUGAAAGCCCCGGGCUCAACCUGGGAACGGCAUCCGGAACUGUCAGGCUAGAGUGCAGGAGAGGAAGGUAGAAUUCCCGGUGUAGCGGUGAAAUGCGUAGAGAUCGGGAGGAAUACCAGUGGCGAAGGCGGCCUUCUGGACUGACACUGACGCUGAGGUGCGAAAGCGUGGGUAGCAAACAGGAUUAGAUACCCGGGUAGUC
Molecule: ribosomal RNA, 465 nt
Filed under: Vreelandella stevensii
Lineage: Bacteria; Pseudomonadati; Pseudomonadota; Gammaproteobacteria; Oceanospirillales; Halomonadaceae
Description: partial 16S ribosomal RNA
Rfam family: Bacterial small subunit ribosomal RNA
Source: RNAcentral